This is a long non-coding RNA of Conger conger (European conger), 392 nucleotides long. RefSeq lists it as uncharacterized. Lineage: Eukaryota; Metazoa; Chordata; Actinopteri; Anguilliformes; Congridae. The record is from RefSeq and is a predicted model, not a curated record. The transcript is spliced from 3 exons.
ACAACAGCGCCAUGUUAUUAGCAUUAGCAUAUUAGCACAAUUAGAUAGCUAACAGUUCUAUGGCUCCAUGGAAUUAGCUGAGUAGUUUCUUCUGUCAAACAAGCCACAAGAUAUGUCCUCAGAUACAGGUGUGCAUAUCGGCUGAUCCAGGUUCUCAAGUAGAGAGGCUGCUACAGUGCCCCCUGUCCCUUCAUCCUGGCAUAGCACCUGAGGCAAUGUGAAUGAUGUUCCAUACCCUGAGCAGUGGAAAGGAGUCCAGAGCGGAGAUCCAGGAGGAGCCCCACAAAGACACAAUUUCAUUCAAACAGCCAUGCAGACGAUGCAGCUCAGGGGAGCUCUUGUCAUACUGGGAGAGAGCAUGGCUUAUAGUGUUAGAGUGGGGAUACCGUUUG